GUGCUCGCUUCGGCAGCACAUAUACUAAAAAAAAAAUUGGAACGAUGCAGAGAAGAUUAGCAUGGCCCCUGCGCAAGGAUGACACACAAGUUCGUGAAGCGUUCCAUAAAAAA
Molecule: small nuclear RNA, 113 nt
Organism: Erinaceus europaeus (western European hedgehog)
Lineage: Eukaryota; Metazoa; Chordata; Mammalia; Eulipotyphla; Erinaceidae
Source: Ensembl